GAUGAACGCUGGCGGCGUGCCUAAUACAUGCAAGUCGAGCGAACAGACGAGGAGCUUGCUCCUCUGACGUUAGCGGCGGACGGGUGAGUAACACGUGGAUAACCUACCUAUAAGACUGGGAUAACUUCGGGAAACCGGAGCUAAUACCGGAUAAUAUAUUGAACCGCAUGGUUCAAUAGUGAAAGACGGUUUUGCUGUCACUUAUAGAUGGAUCCGCGCCGCAUUAGCUAGUUGGUAAGGUAACGGCUUACCAAGGCAACGAUGCGUAGCCGACCUGAGAGGGUGGUCGGCCACACGGGAACUGAGACACGGUCAAGACUCCUACGGGAGGCAGCAGUAGGGAAUCUUACGCAAUGGGCGAAAGCCUGACAGAGCAACGCCGCGUGAGUGAUGAAGGUCUUCGGAUCGUAAAACUCUGUUAUUAGUGAAGAACAAAUGUGUAAGUAACUAUGCACGUCUUGACGGUACCUAGUCAGAAAGCCACGGCUAACUACGUG
RNAcentral lists this ribosomal RNA (497 nucleotides) under uncultured bacterium. RNAcentral describes it as "partial 16S ribosomal RNA". It matches the Rfam family "Bacterial small subunit ribosomal RNA", at positions 28 to 507 of the family's 1533-position model. The record is from RNAcentral.